This 492-nucleotide ribosomal RNA is filed under the name uncultured bacterium. Its description in RNAcentral is "partial 16S ribosomal RNA". It matches the Rfam family "Bacterial small subunit ribosomal RNA", at positions 29 to 507 of the family's 1533-position model. The record is from RNAcentral.
AGUGAACGCUGGCGGUAGGCCUAACACAUGCAAGUCGAACGGCAGCACAGUAAGAGCUUGCCCUUACGGGUGGCGAGUGGCGGACGGGUGAGGAAUACAUCGGAAUCUACUUUUUCGUGGGGGAUAACGUAGGGAAACUUACGCUAAUACCGCAUACGACCUACGGGUGAAAGCAGGGGAUCUUCGGACCUUGCGCGAUUGAAUGAGCCGAUGUCGGAUUAGCUAGUUGGCGGGGUAAAGGCCCACCAAGGCGACGAUCCGUAGCUGGUCUGAGAGGAUGGUCAGCCACACUGGAACUGAGACACGGUCCAGACUCCUACGGGAGGCAGCAGUGGGGAAUAUUGGACAAUGGGCGCAAGCCUGAUCCAGCCAUACCGCGUGGGUGAAGAAGGCCUUCGGGUUGUAAAGCCCUUUUGUUGGGAAAGAAAAGCAGCAGGUUAAUACCCCGCUGUUCUGACGGUACCCAAAGAAUAAGCACCGGCUAACUUCGUG